UCAAAAAAAUUCAUAAUUUUUUUUUCUUAAAUUGUUCGUCCUUUUGCUGCCAAAUCUCCUCAGACCAUCUUCCCCCUUCUUCUUUCUCCCUUCCUAACCCUAAAACACACCCUUUUUUUAUCAACCCACUUUUUUCUCAUAACCAACCACACCCUUCUUUUAGUGUUUCUGUUUUGAAAGCGUUGUCUGGGUACUCCAGAUUAAUGCAUGCAAUGAUCCACAUAUAUGGUGUUCUUGAAAAUUCAGUUUUAUGGAAUAAUAUUGUGGGUUGAAAGAAAGGAUUGAAUGUAUAAAUUUUUUAUUUUGGUAUUCAAUGGUUCCGGCUCCGAUUAACCAAAAGUACUUUUUUUAACUGGAAUGGGAAGUACUUCAAGUUUUCAUUUUAGCCAACAUUGCAGGUUUGGAGAAACGAGGCUUGGAGGCAAGGAUUUAAGGAUAUGCAUGGAUUCCAAAGGAUGACAACAUCCACAUGUGGGUCUAUAUAAAGCUUGAUCCUUAUUGAGGCCACAAAAUUGGUUGCAAAGCUUGAUGAGAAGGAAAGAAAUAGUUUACCAAUGCUUAGACAAGUUGAUUUCAUUGAUGUGGUCCUUCAUGAAGGUCUCCCUAGCUGUUGGCUUUUUUAUUUAUUUUGCUAAUGAAUAUAUUAUUGGGUAAUUUUUCAAUAAUGUGUUGUCUUUGCUCCAGGGUUUCUCUGGGAUGAAUGACAUGGAUUUUGUAAUUGAAUCAGUUUUCAUAGUUAUAUUGUUGUGCAUUAAUUCUUAAUAAUAAGCUUUUGAGGUGGUAAUCUUGUCAUUAUUAACUUCUUUCAUUUUCAAGAGUUAGACAAUGAUAUGAGGAAGUGUAAGGAAGAGUUCAAGGAGUUUGAAAGGCAUGAUGUUAACUACCAGAAAGAUUUUAAGCACAUAAGUCAGAAGAUCAAAAAGCUAGAGGAUAAACUAGAAAAGGUAGAGAAGCAAGUCAUAGUUCAUUGCAAUGAGACAUAUAAUUCUUUUGUUUCUACUUUGUAUGUCAGGAUUCAUCCAAAAUUGAAGCCCUUAUGAAAAAGGGCGAGGAAUCCACUGAUUUGAUACCAAAACUUGAGGACAAUAUUCUAAAACUGCAAAAGUUAUUGCUUGAUGAGGAGAAGAUCUUGGAUGAAAUCACAAAGAGUUCCAAAGUUUGGGAGGGUUCCAUAACUUCUCUCCCUGUUUUACCUUACUAUUUUCUCAGGCUACCAAUGAUAUGGACAAAAGGCCAUUUUCCAUGAGUAUCUCAUUUUAUAAAGGUUGUUCUGGUAGUUGAAAACUUGAUGGUUAACAUUGCAUUCACCAUUGUUUUGGUUAUCCAAGAUCACUAGCAUGUAAUCUUUACAGAAUGGAAAUGUUCAAGGAGUACUAAUAGAGAUUGAAGAAAGUCUUCUAAUUGUUGUAAGUCUCCCUUAUUGAUUCUUUCUAUAUAUUCAUGCUAAGAAUUUGAUUUUGGCCUGUUUAAUGUAUUUACAACCAUCAUUUAACCGUGCAAGGAUUGCUACAACAUUGCAACUAGAUCAGACAAGAUUUUAUCUAUUGUUAUGAUAGUCUUUGUUGUCUUCUCUAACGUGGUGGCUAUAUAUAGUGAUGCCUUGAUCAAGCAGAACCAAACUUCACGCGAAUGAUUUCCAUCAUUCUAAAUAAGAGAAGCUGAAUUAGGAAAUUUGGGUUUUCCAAAAGGAUCCGAUGGAUUGAUUUGAAUGAACAGAGAAGUUACCCUGUGUACAAAAGUGCUUCAAAAGUGUUACAGUCUACAACAUGCGUCCAUCCUCCUCUGUAAUUUGCCAUUUGUUGUAGUAGUUGAUAGUUUUUUUGAACAAUACUCUCUAUCCCUUUCCUUGAUUUGUUGGCAUUUGUAUGUAUUGUAUUGAGUGAAAAUGAAUGAAUUUGUUAAAGAAAUGGUAUACAUUUGAAGAAUU
This is a long non-coding RNA of Vigna unguiculata (cowpea), 1927 nucleotides long. NCBI's taxonomy places the organism in Eukaryota, Viridiplantae, Streptophyta, Magnoliopsida, Fabales, Fabaceae. The record is from RefSeq and is a predicted model, not a curated record.